Molecule: non-coding RNA, 189 nt
Filed under: Plasticicumulans lactativorans
Lineage: Bacteria; Pseudomonadati; Pseudomonadota; Gammaproteobacteria; Candidatus Competibacteraceae
Description: 6S / SsrS RNA
Rfam family: 6S / SsrS RNA
About the family: E. coli 6S RNA was the first non coding RNA to be sequenced, but its function was unknown until recently. It consists of 184 nucleotides that fold into an extended hairpin structure with a large single-stranded internal bulge.
Source: Rfam by way of RNAcentral
CAUCCUCUGCGGUGUUCGUGUGAUGGGCCGGGUACACCCCUUGAUCCUAAUUGCUGCUACCCGGGGGUCUGGCUAGUCGGCGCCGGUGUGCAAGUCCGCCUCCGAGCGGGAAGCCUGACGCGUCGCACCUGUCCCCCACUUGAACCCUGCGGUUCAAGGGAAGGCCUUUACGGCACACGCGGAGGAUGU